CGAUCGAUAAUCAUUCCGUACCUGAGGUGGAUUAUUCACUUGAUAUUGGAACUUCAGUGAUUUAAUCCAUCUGAGGAGCCGAAAUAUCGAUC
This 92-nucleotide microRNA precursor is filed under the name Pristionchus pacificus. RNAcentral describes it as "microRNA ppc-mir-2236a precursor". Lineage: Eukaryota; Metazoa; Nematoda; Chromadorea; Rhabditida; Neodiplogasteridae. The record is from miRBase by way of RNAcentral.